GGUAUAUUUCAUAAUUUUAAAAAGUUUGGAGGGUUUAAGUUAUACACUUAAGUCCUUGUGACUUGUAAAUAAAAUAUACAAUGCCCCUCUCUCUUUCUCCUAAAAUAUGCAUAAGUCCCCUUCUCUCUCUUCACUGUUUUUUCUAUCAAGAGUAAUUUCUCCAGACGAUUUUUCUUCUCUCUCCCAGAAGCUCUCCAAUCGUUGUCCUCAAAAAAACAGGCAAAAAGUCCCUAUUUGAGGAUGGUUCAGAUACAACCGCCACGUCCUCGUUCAGGAUGGUUCAGAUACAGUUGAGAGUGAUGGUUCUUAUAUCGUGGUUCAACAUCUGUAUUGUUUAUAUAUAGAUCGUAUAAAUGCCUAGGUGUAGAGGGAGAAAAGGCAAAAUACUCCACCGUUCUGGUGAUAUGGUUCAAACCCGUUCUACUGGGGAUCGUAAGGAUAAAAAAAAAAAAAAGAGGUGAAGAAGUUAGCCGAGAUGUAAAAAGAAAAAGAAAUGCAGAAGCUGAGAGUGAGUCCUAAUCAGAUCCCGUUGAUGAGUGCAGUGUUGAUGGUGAUGAAGGAGAUAGAGUUGAUAGUAGAGUUGAGAAUGAUGGUUAUGUAUCUGAGAAUGAAGGUAUUUGAUCAAGAAAGAUAAUGGAGGAGUUUGAUCAAGAAAAGAAAAGAGACAAUGGAGGAGUUUGUUCAAGAAAAAAGACAAUGGAGGAGUUUGAACUUUUGGACGGUUUUAUAUAAGGAAGGAUGUAUUGUUAAGGUUGUAAAUUUAAGAAUUUUUGUUUUAUUACCGUUGUAGAGAAAUUUGUGGUCCGUCAGUCGAAAUAAAGCCAAAUGUGUUGGGUCAAUUAUAAGCCAACCGGAAAUAAACCAUCUUAGUUUAUAAUAACUCACUGCUUCGGACAAUUUUAGACCAUUUUGGUCAAUGAUAAACCAGAGAAAUAAAGGCGACUGUUAGAAUGAAAAGCAUGCUGAAAUUGCACUAGUCUAAUUGGGAAAAAAAAAAAAAAGCCCAAAACCCAAACCACCUUUUCUCAAGGUGUGGUAUUAGCACUUAGUGCUCAAUUUGUUGAGGGAUUGACAAUAAAUGGAAAAUGUAUGGAUUUCAUUAGAGACUGGUUUGAAUGUGCAGUAGCUGGAAAUAUGAAAAUUGAUGGACAGCACCAAGUUUGCUGUGCACACAUUGGCAUCAGGAGGAGUAGACUUCAUAGUUACUACUACUGGUGUCAUGUUUUGGAUACUAAAACUUGGGACACUAGGACUGCAGGGCUGAUUUAUAGCUGUAUCACUGGUGUCUGUUUGUUCUUUUUUGCAGAUCUUGAUGGAAACCGUAUAAGGGCUACAGAUACUAUUGCUUCUACUUGUGCCAAUGAUCUUACUCAUACAGGAAAUGAUUUGGUGCAGGAUUUCUACAAGUCUGAGUAUGCUUAUGCAGGGCAAGAUUUGAUGACAUGCUUCAGAUGCAGACUUUUAGUUUCAGCAGCUGCAUCAGUAAAGGAAAUGCUCCAUGAUUUCUUUGAGGUGCAGUCUUGUGAAAAGUGGUUCUGGUGUAUUUAGGAGGAGCUGCUUUAUGCAGUCUGGUUUUCUGAUUUUACAUGGAACCACAUAGUCACCAGAAAUGAAAGAAAUCUGCCUAAUACUUGUGCCACUGAUUUUUUUGCAAUUGUCACUUGGCACAUAUCUGCAAACAUAUCAAGGUUUUGGAUAUACAGCAGGCUAAAAUUCAUCAUAGAGUGUUGCAGCUGGUUUUUGCAGGAUAUCAGCACUUACACAUUGGUUUAUAAUAGUGGAACUGCUAUUUGGCAAGAUUGGAUCUGAACUCUACAAUUAUGCAGGCCAUUUGUUGGAGUCAUUUUUGCAGUGCAAUCUAGUGGCUUUAUGGCACAAUGGAGAGCAGCAUGGGAUGCAGGUUUCAACUAUGAGUUUCAACAUUACACCAGCUGUGCAGUGUGAUGCUAUAUACACAUGCUAUGCAGCUGAUCUACAGGAGUAUACACUCCAGGAUCAAGCGUUUGAUUUGGUUCAGGAUAGUGCUGCAGGAUGGAGUCUUAUCAGUGCUUACAAGGUUACAAAUUAGUGGGAGAGGCAGCAUACUCUACAGGCAAAUGGAUGAUCAAGAUUUAUUACUCACUUUUGAUACUUUACUAGUUUGUUAAUUCAUUACUUAGCUAUUUGUAGCACCAACUUAGGAUCGUCUAUAAGUCUUAAGUUGGUCAUUAGCUUAAUUCUUGCAUUUUAUUAGGCAUUUUGGCUACACUUGUAAAGACUUUAUUUGUUUUGCUUCGAGAAUAAUAUAUAAAAUCAGCCCUAGGCUCAUAGCCUAGUGAACUUUUUUUCUUUU
This is a long non-coding RNA of Lycium barbarum (goji berry), 2332 nucleotides long. RefSeq lists it as uncharacterized. NCBI's taxonomy places the organism in Eukaryota, Viridiplantae, Streptophyta, Magnoliopsida, Solanales, Solanaceae. The transcript is spliced from 2 exons. The record is from RefSeq and is a predicted model, not a curated record.